This 734-nucleotide ribosomal RNA is filed under the name Pseudomonas sp. 120221_PC_C1_C5. RNAcentral's name for it is "bacterial SSU rRNA". It matches the Rfam family "Bacterial small subunit ribosomal RNA", at positions 20 to 747 of the family's 1533-position model. RNAcentral also lists the same sequence under 1 other name. The record is from RNAcentral. Lineage: Bacteria; Pseudomonadati; Pseudomonadota; Gammaproteobacteria; Pseudomonadales; Pseudomonadaceae.
UGGCUCAGAUUGAACGCUGGCGGCAGGCCUAACACAUGCAAGUCGAGCGGCAGCACGGGUACUUGUACCUGGUGGCGAGCGGCGGACGGGUGAGUAAUGCCUAGGAAUCUGCCUGGUAGUGGGGGAUAACGUUCGGAAACGAACGCUAAUACCGCAUACGUCCUACGGGAGAAAGCAGGGGACCUUCGGGCCUUGCGCUAUCAGAUGAGCCUAGGUCGGAUUAGCUAGUUGGUGAGGUAAUGGCUCACCAAGGCGACGAUCCGUAACUGGUCUGAGAGGAUGAUCAGUCACACUGGAACUGAGACACGGUCCAGACUCCUACGGGAGGCAGCAGUGGGGAAUAUUGGACAAUGGGCGAAAGCCUGAUCCAGCCAUGCCGCGUGUGUGAAGAAGGUCUUCGGAUUGUAAAGCACUUUAAGUUGGGAGGAAGGGCAGUUACCUAAUACGUAAUUGUUUUGACGUUACCGACAGAAUAAGCACCGGCUAACUCUGUGCCAGCAGCCGCGGUAAUACAGAGGGUGCAAGCGUUAAUCGGAAUUACUGGGCGUAAAGCGCGCGUAGGUGGUUCGUUAAGUUGGAUGUGAAAUCCCCGGGCUCAACCUGGGAACUGCAUUCAAAACUGUCGAGCUAGAGUAUGGUAGAGGGUGGUGGAAUUUCCUGUGUAGCGGUGAAAUGCGUAGAUAUAGGAAGGAACACCAGUGGCGAAGGCGACCACCUGGACUGAUACUGACACU